CUGGGUUUUUCUUGGGCUACCCGCCCAUCACCCGCCCUCUGUCACUUUAUACGAAUUGCUUCGGCCGACGGUUCAGCGAGCACCUGGCGCAAGCUGGUGUGAGUAGGGCCGCGGUCGGUCUACCAAAUCUAUUGCAUAUAUGUCGUCUGAAGAAAAAAGAAAAACGAAACCA
This 172-nucleotide unclassified non-coding RNA is filed under the name uncultured fungus. RNAcentral's name for it is "sequence contains ITS1, 5.8S rRNA gene". The record is from RNAcentral. Lineage: Eukaryota; Fungi.